Lolium perenne is the source of this 3034-nucleotide long non-coding RNA. RefSeq lists it as uncharacterized. Lineage: Eukaryota; Viridiplantae; Streptophyta; Magnoliopsida; Poales; Poaceae. The record is from RefSeq and is a predicted model, not a curated record.
AGAAACUAUCCAUUUUCCCCACGUCUCUCUUUUCUCAUCUUCACCUCUUCCUUUUUUUUUCGGACCGACCUACAGCCGCCACCGGCGAAGACCAUAUGCCAGGCCGCCGUUUGCUUCACCGGCCGCCUGCACCUCUCCGCUCGGCCGAGCCGCAGCCGAUGAAGGCUCUACGGCAUGCCGUUCUUGGCUCCACCGGGCGUUGCCGAUCUUCGCUCCACCGGGCGUUGCCGAUCUUCGCUCCACCAGGGGCUGCCGCUUCUCCAACUCCAUCUCCGCGUCCGACCAGUACGGCCAUACGGCAGGCCAUCCUUCUAUCCAUACGCAGGCAGUGCGUCUCCGCCUUCCUGCAACUAUGGUCAAGCGGCGGUACGGCGCACGUGUAAAGGUCGACCUCUUCUGCGUCGCCUUCUCCCCUUCCAUGUAGUCGUCCGUGCCCGCCCAGGGGCGCGCGUUCAAGGCAGGGUUGUUCUGUGUGGUUUGUGCUUUGUCUGAUGUCAAAGCUUGGAGACCAUGAAUCUAGCAAGGCAAGCAGCCGGAAUCGGCAAGACGUCCUUCCGUGGGAUCCCCUCCUUCCGUAGUUCCAAGAAUGUCUGAAUCGGUAAGGUGAAUUCUUGCUGACUCUAAUUGUGUAUCCUUUUCAACCUCUAUAUCUUUUUCCCUUUAUCUUUUUAUUUCUGAUCUCCUCACCGUAUUAUGCAACGGCCACUCUCUAUUUGCAUUACUACAUGUUCUUAAAACCAAUGAUUGCAGGCAGAUUGGAAUAGUAAGGAAGCACACGGUAGCACUUAUACAAGCUUGAUUUUAUUGAUGUCGACGCGAGGUACACCCUCGAAAAUUCAAACAAUUUGUUUGCUCUCGCCCCCUGUUAUAAACCACUUGAAUUGUUGGAACCAAUAUGUAGCCUCCUUUUUUCAAACAAAUAUAUUAUUAUCUGAGUAUCUCCAUUGGUGUAAUUAAACUUCACAGAUGUCAGACUUCUUUUCACUACUAUAAUGCUACACUUCUAUACUUAUCCUAAUCUCAUUCAUCUAUGAAUAGAUCAACAUUUACUUGCUCCAUCUUUCUAAGAUACGGGAAAUUAGACAUGGUAAUAAUCUGGUAAAGGAUUAAUGAUAAAUGGUUGGUCGAUCUGAUUUGUGGAUUGUAUCUGUCCUGAUUUGUUUUUCUUUUCAUAUUUCAGUUAGCAGACUACAGUCCCAAUGGUUGCAUUUAGUGCUUCAAGAUUGUUUCGGAUAAAGUGCUGCUGAGUGUAGGUUGGCAGAGAACCCCGAAUCAAGACAAAAUGUUUUAUACACUAUUUUCAAAUAUUGUUUCGAUAGAAUGGGCUUCAGCACUUGAUUUUGGAAGCACUGAGGACAAUAUCUGCCAGUGAUGUUUCCUUGAAAUGUCAAAUGAACUUGAUCAAUCGAGACCUAUGUUACAGGUUGGUCUGCAUAAUUUUGUUCAGCUUUGUAUAUAUAGAUUGGGUGUUUCUUUUCAACUAAUGUGCAAUAUAUUUGGUGCUUUCAGCUGUGGAAAGUAGGAAAGGUUGUAUCGCUCCUUCCACUCAGGUGGUUGGGUCUGGGUAGGCUGCUGUCAACGUUUGGUUCAUACUAAUGAACGAUAGCGAUGAGUCAGGUUUUGGGUGCUCUGUGCUGUUGAGUACUCCGAGAUGACCAUCCUGGCAUUGAUAACAAGAGAAUGUGCUUGCAAAUAUUUCUGUUUGCUGUUACCGCAAGAGAAGGUUAAUACUACAUAAUCGAUUUAGAUUUGUUACUUUGCCCUGCAGUCUCGAAUGCUCCUGCCAAUAUUUUUCUCAUAGCCAGUUGAAGGAGUUUCCUUGAUAACUGUGUUUUUAUCUAACGAUAUGGUGGCCUAAUCGGAUCAAUGACAGCAAGAGUUGCACAGGUAACACAACAUCCACACACACACUGAAAUGGAUAUUAGUUAGUCGGCGUUGUCAUGUACAAAUCAAUACUUCCCACUUUACUGGCAUAUAGAAUUAUAUGUAUUUGUUAGAGUGGUGUCUUCCUUAAACAAAAAAUACAUGUGAAAUGGGGUAUUAUAAUUCUAUGUUGUGAUAUAUCGAUCUAGAAAUGUAGGUUUAUUUUUCCCUUUCUAAUUUAGUAUAGAGCUAUAGAUGAAGGUUCUCCUAUCAAGUCAAUAUUUCUGUAGCCUACCCGCAUGCUACCCUCAGGACAAUCCCAAUAGGAAAUUUCCAUAAUAGGUACCUUUUCAUCGUCAGUUCAGUAUCGUUGCCACUAGGCGUAUGACGUAGAAGAAGGUUCAGGUCGGUGACAUUCAACGCAUUAGCAAAACCUUAUAAGAAACAACUUACUGUUUUGAGGAUUAUCUGUUCUGGUGUUUCUGCACAGGUUUGGUUGGUCUGAUGGUCAGCUUAUACUAAAAACAUAAUUAGAAGUGCUUUAGUCGUCAUUGAAAAUAAUAUUUUUUCUUCUAAAUCUAAAAGCUAUAAAAUUUUGUCUCACGUUGAAUGUAAGUUUUGCCACAGUAUCUACUGCUAUUAGAUGUUUUCAAUGCAUAGGACUCCAGACUUUUUGCUGGACAUUAUCUUGUGUGGCCCAAGGCGAAAACGAGGAAGUUUAUCUGUGGCUCUUCUGCUUCAUUUUUCUUCCUACUGAUCUAUUAUCCUUGGGUGCAGACGUGCAGUGUCGCGGAUUUAAUUUAUAGAAAUCGCAGGCCAAUUGCUUUUGUUUUGCUGAUCAUAUUCUUCUACUGAAAGUGCAGUACCUCAUAUUAGUCGCAAUCGAAUUGAGUAUGUUCUGGUUGCAGGUCACAUUCUUUUAUUGAAAGUGGAGCAGCUAAUAUAAGUCGCAACAUGUUGGGACUUAGGAGUAAUCAGUGAUCAAGUUUCUUAUGAUCUUAUUCUAAUGUAGAUGACAAUUUAUGUUCUGCCUGCUGCUACAAGGGGAUUUUACACAUACGAAGUUUUUGGCCUGCGCAUAUGAUGUAGCAGUCCUCCAGUUUUGAAUUUUUGCAGCUAUAUGUGUAUGCUUAUGGACUGAUUUUAUUCUCAGUUAAUGUUGAUGAUCCA